UUGUUAAGCUAGAUGUGAAAGCCCCGGGCUCAACCUGGGAUGGUCAUUUAGAACUGGCAGACUAGAGUCUUGGAGAGGGGAGUGGAAUUCCAGGUGUAGCGGUGAAAUGCGUAGAUAUCUGGAGGAACAUCAGUGGCGAAGGCGACUCCCUGGCCAAAGACUGACGCUCAUGUGCGAAAGUGUGGGUAGCGAACAGGAUUAGAUACCCUGGUAGUCCACACCGUAAACGCUGUCUACUAGCUGUUUGUGGUUUUUUAACCGUGAGUAGCGAAGCUAACGCGCUAAGUAGACCGCCUGGGGAGUACGGCCGCAAGGUUAAAACUCAAAGAAAUUGACGGGGGCCCGCACAAGCGGUGGAGCAUGUG
RNAcentral lists this ribosomal RNA (365 nucleotides) under Pseudo-nitzschia fraudulenta. RNAcentral's name for it is "partial Bacterial small subunit ribosomal RNA". It matches the Rfam family "Bacterial small subunit ribosomal RNA", at positions 580 to 943 of the family's 1533-position model. Lineage: Eukaryota; Bacillariophyta; Bacillariophyceae; Bacillariales; Bacillariaceae. The record is from RNAcentral.